AACGCUAGCUACAGGCUUAACACAUGCAAGUCGAGGGGAAACGAUAGAGAAAGCUUGCUUUUUCUAGGCGUCGACCGGCGCACGGGUGAGUAACGCGUAUCCAACCUGCCCACCACUUGGGGAUAACCCUGCGAAAGUAAGACUAAUACCCAAUGACGUCUCUAGAAGACAUCUGAAAGGGAUUAAAGAUUUAUCGGUGAUGGAUGGGGAUGCGUCUGAUUAGCUUGUUGGCGGGGUAACGGCCCACCAAGGCGACGAUCAGUAGGGGUUCUGAGAGGAAGGUCCCCCACAUUGGAACUGAGACACGGUCCAAACUCCUACGGGAGGCAGCAGUGAGGAAUAUUGGUCAAUGGGCGAGAGCCUGAACCAGCCAAGUAGCGUGCAGGAUGACGGCCCUAUGGGUUGUAAACUGCUUUUAUAAGGGAAUAAAGUGAGCCUCGUGAGGCUUUUUGCAUGUACCUUAUGAAUAAGGACCAGCUAAUUCCGUGCCAGCAGCCGCGGUAAUACGGAAGGUCCGGGCGUUAUCCGGAUUUAUUGGGUUUAAAGGGAGCGUAGGCCGGAGAUUAAGCGUGUUGUGAAAUGUAGAUGCUCAACGUCUGCACUGCAGCGCGAACUGGUUUCCUUGAGUACGCACAAAGUGGGCGGAAUUCGUGGUGUAGCGGUGAAAUGCUUAGAUAUCACGAAGAACUCCGAUUG
This 696-nucleotide ribosomal RNA is filed under the name uncultured Bacteroidales bacterium. RNAcentral describes it as "bacterial SSU rRNA". It matches the Rfam family "Bacterial small subunit ribosomal RNA", at positions 32 to 715 of the family's 1533-position model. The record is from RNAcentral. Lineage: Bacteria; Pseudomonadati; Bacteroidota; Bacteroidia; Bacteroidales.